CGGGCUCAAUUUCCUUGGAACAGGAGGUCAUGGAGGGUGAGAACCCCGUACAUGGCUUGGGUGCCGCAGUCCUAGUGAUGGUUCCUCUAAGAGUCAGGUUGUUUGGGAAUGCAGCUCAAAAUGGGUGGUAAAUUUCAUCUAAAGCUAAAUAUUGGCGAGAGACCGAUAGCAAACAAGUAGAGUGAUCGAAAGAUGAAAAGUACUUUGAAAAGAGAGUGAAACAGUACGUGAAAUUGUUGAAAGGGAAGCGUUUGGCAUCAGCCCAUGAUGGUCAUCGAACAUCCUGGCUUCUCUGCCUGGUGCACUCGAUGGCCAUUGGGCCAGCGUCGGCUCUGCCAGCUGGAGAAAGGCCUUGGACAAGUGGCUCCUUUUCGGGAGCGUUAUAGCCCAUGGCGUCAUGCAGCUUGGUGGGGCCGAGGUCCGCGGGUUUUCCUAGGACGCUGGCGUAAUGGUUCCAAGCGACCCGUCUUGAAACACGGACCAAGGAGUCUAACAUCUAUGCGAGUGUUUGGGUGUCAAGCCCG
Molecule: ribosomal RNA, 524 nt
Filed under: uncultured Archaeorhizomycetes
Lineage: Eukaryota; Fungi; Ascomycota; Archaeorhizomycetes
Description: eukaryotic LSU rRNA
Rfam family: Eukaryotic large subunit ribosomal RNA
Source: RNAcentral